Molecule: ribosomal RNA, 305 nt
Filed under: uncultured bacterium
Lineage: Bacteria
Description: bacterial SSU rRNA
Rfam family: Bacterial small subunit ribosomal RNA
Source: RNAcentral
UCCUACGGGAGGCAGCAGUGAGGAAUAUUGGUCAAUGGCCGAGAGGCUGAACCAGCCAAGUCGCGUGAGGGAAGACGGUCCUAUGGAUUGUAAACCUCUUUAGGCGGGGAGCAGUGCCGGGCACGUGUGCCCGGAGGGAGAGUACCCGCAGAAUAAGCAUCGGCUAACUCCGUGCCAGCAGCCGCGGUAAUACGGAGGAUGCGAGCGUUAUCCGGAUUUAUUGGGUUUAAAGGGUGCGUAGGCGGAUUUUUAAGUCAGCGGUAAAAUGUCCGGGCUCAACCCGGGCCGGCCGUUGAAACUGGGGG